UACGUAGGGUGCGAGCGUUAAUCGGCAUUACUGGGCGUAAAGCGUGCGCAGGCGGUGAUGUAAGUCAGUUGUGAAAUCCCCGGGCUCAACCUGGGAAUUGCAUCUGUGACUGCAUCGCUAGAGUACGGUAGAGGGGGAUGGAAUUCCGCGUGUAGCAGUGAAAUGCGUAGAUAUGCGGAGGAACACCGAUGGCGAAGGCAAUCCCCUGGACCUGUACUGACGCUCAUGCACGAAAGCGUGGGGAGCAAACAGG
Molecule: ribosomal RNA, 253 nt
Filed under: uncultured bacterium
Lineage: Bacteria
Description: partial 16S ribosomal RNA
Rfam family: Bacterial small subunit ribosomal RNA
Source: RNAcentral